CUUUUUGAUAAUAAUUUAAAGUCUAACCUGCCCUAUGAGUAUUUAAAUGGCUGCGGUACCCUGACCGUGCAAAGGUAGCAUAAUAAUUAGUUUUUUAAUUGAAAGCUGGAAUGAAAGGUUGGAUGAAAGAAUAACUGUCUCUAUUUAAAUUUAUUAGAAUUUUAUUUUUAAGUAAAAAAGCUUAAAUAAUUCUAAAAGACGAGAAGACCCUAUAGAGUUUUAUUUGUUUAUAUUAUAGAAUUUUUGGUAUUAAUAUAUUUAUAAUAAGAAAUUAAUUUAAUUGGGGUGAUUGGAAAAUUUAAUAAACUUUUCUUAUAAAUUUAUAUUUAUAGAUAACUAUAUGAUCCCUUUAUUAGGAUUAAAAGAGAAAAUUACCUUAGGGAUAACAGCGUAAUUUUUUUUGAGAGUUCUAAUCGAAAAAAAAGAUUGCGACCUCGAUGUUGGAUUAAAAUAAAAUUUUGGUGUAGAAGCUAAA
This 475-nucleotide ribosomal RNA is filed under the name Acantholophus sp. JR-2002. Its description in RNAcentral is "partial 16S ribosomal RNA". It matches the Rfam family "Bacterial large subunit ribosomal RNA", at positions 1821 to 2566 of the family's 2925-position model. Lineage: Eukaryota; Metazoa; Arthropoda; Insecta; Coleoptera; Curculionidae. The record is from RNAcentral.